Molecule: small nuclear RNA, 191 nt
Organism: Talpa occidentalis (Iberian mole)
Lineage: Eukaryota; Metazoa; Chordata; Mammalia; Eulipotyphla; Talpidae
Product: U2 spliceosomal RNA
Exons: 1
Source: RefSeq, a predicted model, not a curated record
AUUGCUUCUCAGCAUUUCGGCUAAGAUCAAGUGUAUUAUCUGUUUUUAUCAGUUUAAUAUCUGAUGUAUCCUCUAUCUGAGGAUAAUACAUUAAAUGGAUUUUUGGAGCAGGGAGAUGGAAUAGGAACUUGCUCCAUCCACUCCACGCAUCCACCUGGUAUUACACUGUUCCACUCCAUGGAACAAAAUUU